Molecule: long non-coding RNA, 1566 nt
Organism: Trichoplusia ni (cabbage looper)
Lineage: Eukaryota; Metazoa; Arthropoda; Insecta; Lepidoptera; Noctuidae
Exons: 2
Source: RefSeq, a predicted model, not a curated record
UGUUAUUCAUACAAUUUUGACAGUCGUUACAGGUAGUCAGAAGUUGAAAAGUCUGUCUACCAGUCGAACCAAGGGGUAUCGUGUUGCCGAGGUAACUGGUUUAAGGAGGUCAGAUAGGCAGUCGCUCCUUGUUAAACACUGGUCUACUUAGCUGAAUGUGGAUAGACAGGAAACCGACCCCAACAAAUUUGGGAAAAAGCUAGGCCGAUGACUUGAUUUUAAGACGCAACACUGUAAUUAUUGUAGAAAUUAUUAACUAAUGGUUUUUUUUAGUUAAAAUUUAAUUUAAAAUGUUUAAAUAGAAAAGAACACUAGACAUAAGCCAUGUAGGUAUUGAUUAUUAACUAACUUACUAAAACCACGAACGUCACGUAUUACCAAUCUUUAAAAUCUAUUUAUUUACACCAAUUAACUUCACUGUUGAUUAAUACUGAUAGAAAAUUUAAGAUUGAUACAUGAUUACUAAAUGACACUAAACACCACUGACACAACCUGUCACAAUGACGUAAGCGAGCGAACUGCCCAGGCUCAGCCAGGGCUUGGAGUCCUGACCUCUAUCUAUUGCGCAACUCCAUACAAUUUAGGUCACUUGCAGGUUACCUAGGAUGACCUGAUUUUUCACUGCAAUGCGGAUAUCAUAAGUAUUUGAGGUACCUAACGCGCAUGCGCGUCACUCGCCUUUGUGACGUAACAACCUAAAUUACGUAAUAAAGGAUAACAAGAAAAUAUUAGGGGGAAGUCCCGUAACGCCGGACGGCACCUAGCGCCGGACACUCGUACUAUUUAAGCGAGUGUCGACCCGUUCGAUUCAAAAUACAAGUGAAAGGGGUGCGGGGGUCACACAGGUACAGGGUCACGCGCCGCGCCUCGCCAGUGACAUACACGGCCAUGGCAGGAGCCGCUGAUUGCAGUUUUAGGCGCGAAAUCACGUCGUCAGCUAAAUAUCAAUAGUAUAGAAGAAAGAAGAUAAUAAAAAUGGAAGAGAAGAAAAAGAAAGGAUCUUGGGAGCCACAGAGCUUACAAACUGCUAUUAAUAAAAUUAUGGCAAAAGAACUCAGUGUAACCUAAAAAGGACUAAAUAAAAUCUAAUUUUGAAGUAGCAAUGGAAGGUAAAGGAAAGAAUACCAAUGGAAAGAGCGUAGACAAGAGAAAAGAAGCGACAAACGUGAAACCUAAAGAAAAAAAAGAAGUGAAGUAGAAACAUUGACUGAAACAUCUAAGACAAACAUAACAAUUUGCUUAGUUUGCUUAGAAGCCUCUGAGGAAGCCUGGAUCCAGUGCUCAUCCUAUCGUGGGUGGUUACAUGAAGCAUGUGCAGAUAUUCCAGAGUCUGGAGAUGGCUACAUAUGUGAACGAUGCAGGUUAUUUUGAAAUAUCCGGUGCUAGGGGUAUGGCACAAAUAUUGUCCGGUACUAGGUGCCACUUUUUAAAAUCAUAUUUUUUGUUACCAAAGUUUGAAUGAUGGUAUUAAUUAUUUUUAAGCAGAGGUUGCAUUUUUGUUAAUUUAAUUUGAUUCCUAACUUUGUUAUCUAAUAUAAGUCAUAAACGAAUAAGCAUUUUUUUAAA